RNAcentral lists this ribosomal RNA (91 nucleotides) under Paenibacillus antarcticus. RNAcentral describes it as "partial 23S ribosomal RNA". It matches the Rfam family "Bacterial large subunit ribosomal RNA", at positions 2837 to 2925 of the family's 2925-position model. Lineage: Bacteria; Bacillati; Bacillota; Bacilli; Caryophanales; Paenibacillaceae. The record is from RNAcentral.
CUUGAAGACGACGAGGUAGAUAGGUUGGAGGUGGAAGUGCAGCAAUGCAUGGAGCUGACCAAUACUAAUCGGUCGAGGGCUUAUCCUACAA